Molecule: ribosomal RNA, 418 nt
Filed under: uncultured bacterium
Lineage: Bacteria
Description: bacterial SSU rRNA
Rfam family: Bacterial small subunit ribosomal RNA
Source: RNAcentral
GAGGAAUAUUGGGCAAUGCCCGCAAGGGUGACCCAGCAACGCCGCGUGGAGGAUGAAUGUCGUAAGAUUGUAAACUCCUGUUAGAGGGGAAGAAUAGUACCGGUUGGACCGGUAUAUGACUGUACCCUCAGAGAAAGCCCCGGCUAACUACGUGCCAGCAGCCGCGGUAAUAAGUAGGGGGCAAGCGUUGUCCGGAUUUACUGGGUGUAAAGGGCGCGCAGGCGGGAUAAAAAGUCAGUGGUGAAAGCCUACAGCUUAACUGUAGAACUGCCUUUGAUACUUUUAUUCUUGAGUUCGGGAGAGAGGGACGGAAUUCCAGAUGUUAUGGUGAAAUACGUAGAUAUCUGGAAGAACACCAGUUGCGAAGGCGGUCUCUUGGUCCGACACUGACGCUGAGGCGCGAAAGCGUGGGGAGCAA